Molecule: ribosomal RNA, 330 nt
Filed under: uncultured eukaryote
Lineage: Eukaryota
Description: partial 18S ribosomal RNA
Rfam family: Eukaryotic small subunit ribosomal RNA
Source: RNAcentral
CCCUUAGAUGUUCUGGGCCGCACGCGCGCUACACUGAUGCAUUCAACGAGUCUAAAACCUGGUCUGAUAGGGCUGGGUAAUCUUUUGAAUGUGCAUCGUGAUUGGGAUAGAUGAUUGCAAUUCUUCAUCUUCAACGAGGAAUGCCUAGUAAACGCAAGUCAUCAGCUUGCAUUGAUUACGUCCCUGCCCUUUGUACACACCGCCCGUCGCUCCUACCGAUUGAAUGUUCCGAUGAAUACCAUGGACUGAGAGUAUGAAUGGGUUCGCCUAUUUCUGCUUCUCGGGAAGUGGGGUAAAUCUUAACAUUUAGAGGAAGGAGAAGUCGUAACA